RNAcentral lists this ribosomal RNA (426 nucleotides) under uncultured bacterium. Its description in RNAcentral is "partial 16S ribosomal RNA". It matches the Rfam family "Bacterial small subunit ribosomal RNA", at positions 354 to 796 of the family's 1533-position model. The record is from RNAcentral.
GUGAGGAAUUUUCCGCAAUGGGCGAAAGCCUGACGGAGCAAUGCCGCGUGAAGGAUGAAGGCCUAUGGGUUGUAAACUUCUUUUCUCAGAAAAGAAUUAUGACGGUAUCUGAGGAAUAAGCAUCGGCUAACUCUGUGCAAGCAGCCGCGGUAAGACAGAGGAUGCAAGCGUUAUCCGGAAUGAUUGGGCGUAAAGCGUCUGUAGGUUGUUUAAAAAGUAUUCUGUCAAAGAUUAGGGCUUAACCCUAGAUAGUCAGAAUAAACUUUUAAGCUAGAGUUUGGUAGAGGCAGAGGGAAUUCCCGGUGGAGCGGUGAAAUGCGUAGAUAUCGGGAGGAACACCAAAGGCGAAGGCACUCUGCUGGGCCAAUACUAACACUGAGAGACGAAAGCGAGGGGAGCAAAUGGGAUUAGAAACCCUGGUAGUCC